RNAcentral lists this transfer RNA (59 nucleotides) under Camelus bactrianus (Bactrian camel). It matches the Rfam family "tRNA". Rfam says of the family: Transfer RNA (tRNA) molecules are approximately 80 nucleotides in length. Their secondary structure includes four short double-helical elements and three loops (D, anti-codon, and T loops). Lineage: Eukaryota; Metazoa; Chordata; Mammalia; Artiodactyla; Camelidae. RNAcentral also lists the same sequence under 2 other names. The record is from Rfam by way of RNAcentral.
GGAGGUAUAGCUCAGUGGUAAAGCGCAUGAGGUCCUGGGUUCAAUCCUCAGUGCCUCUG